GGCAUGUGGAGUUAUGAGUUGUGUGAAUUGUUUGCGUUGAAUGGUUGCCUAUUGAGUGCCUAAUUAUAUUUUUAUAUGAUCUCUCUCUUUUAGGCUGAUUUAUUAAGAGGUUUUACACUGUCAGGAAAGUGGGGCAGGCAAACAUUUAUUGCUGCAGUACCUUCAAUGGGCUGAUGGCUGUGUUGGAAUGCUGAAUAUCUGUAUCUUCUCUGUAUCUAUCAUAUUUGGAUUUUGGUCUUGGAAUUGAGUGCUGAGAUUGGGUAACUGUGCUGAAGCUGUACUUUUGUUCAAUGUGUAGUGGCUUUGUAUAGGGCCGGGGCUGCAUCGGCCCUUAACCUCCCCUGGUGUAGGUGAUUUGGGUGGCGUGGCACUGCUGUGUGGUGUAUAUUACCUAGAAGGUUGACACUGAAAUGGUGUUUUAAAUGUUACUCUUUGUUUGCGGUGUAUGCUGUGGGUCUUUUUUUCUUUCUCUUACAGGUGGUAGGCGGUGGAUAAGAGCAGGCCCGACCCUCCUUGCCAUUUUGAGGAGAGCUAUUUUCUACAUUUGUGGAUUUUAU
This is a long non-coding RNA of Cyprinus carpio (common carp), 557 nucleotides long. RefSeq lists it as uncharacterized. The record is from RefSeq and is a predicted model, not a curated record. Lineage: Eukaryota; Metazoa; Chordata; Actinopteri; Cypriniformes; Cyprinidae. The transcript is spliced from 3 exons.